RNAcentral lists this ribosomal RNA (615 nucleotides) under uncultured bacterium. Its description in RNAcentral is "bacterial SSU rRNA". It matches the Rfam family "Bacterial small subunit ribosomal RNA", at positions 67 to 715 of the family's 1533-position model. The record is from RNAcentral.
CGGGGUCGGAACUUCGGUUCCGGCUUACGUGGCGCACGGGUGAGUAACACGUGGGAAUCUGCCCAUCUAUGGGGAAUAACUGCGGGAAACUGCAGCUAAUACCGCAUACGCCCUUCGGGGGAAAGGCUUCGGCCGUAGAUGGAUGAGCCCGCGUCCGAUUAGCUAGUUGGUGGGGUAAUGGCCUACCAAGGCGACGAUCGGUAGCUGGUCUGAGAGGAUGAUCAGCCACACUGGGACUGAGACACGGCCCAGACUCCUACGGGAGGCAGCAGUGGGGAAUAUUGGACAAUGGGCGAAAGCCUGAUCCAGCAAUGCCGCGUGAGUGAUGAAGGUCUUCGGAUUGUAAAGCUCUUUCGACGGGGAAGAUAAUGACGGUACCCGUAGAAGAAGCCCCGGCUAACUUCGUGCCAGCAGCCGCGGUAAUACGAAGGGGGCUAGCGUUGUUCGGAUUUACUGGGCGUAAAGCGUGCGUAGGCGGCUUAUCAAGUCAGAAGUGAAAGCCCGGGGCUCAACUCCGGAAUGGCUUUUGAGACUGGUAGGCUGGAGUUCGGGAGAGGGUAGUGGAAUUCCCAGUGUAGAGGUGAAAUUCGUAGAUAUUGGGAAGAACACCGGUGG